RNAcentral lists this ribosomal RNA (689 nucleotides) under uncultured fungus. Its description in RNAcentral is "eukaryotic LSU rRNA". The stretch from base 247 to 400 matches the Rfam family "5.8S ribosomal RNA". The record is from RNAcentral. Lineage: Eukaryota; Fungi.
UCUUGGUCAUUUAGAGGAAGUAAAAGUCGUAACAAGGUUUCCGUAGGUGAACCUGCGGAAGGAUCAUUAGUGAAUUUGUGGCCUUCAAGGCUCACAUUCUCUAUCCUUUACACACCUGUGCACCCUUCUGAAGCGGAGAGUUAUUAGGCAUUAGCCGAGCGCCUCCCUUCGGUUAUUAUAUCAAACUCAAACUACGUUUACUAGAAUGUAUACCGUCUUGUUGUAACGACAAGUACAAUCCAAUAAAACUUUCAGCAACGGAUCUCUUGGCUCAGGCAUCGAUGAAGAACGCAGCGAAAUGCGAUAAGUAAUGUGAAUUGCAGAAUCCAGUGAAUCAUCGAAUCUUUGAACGCAACUUGCGCCCUCUGGUAUUCCGGAGGGCAUGCCUGUUUGAGUGUCGUGAACACCUCAACCCUCUAAUGUUUUUGCAUUGAAGGCGUUGGUAGUGAGCGCUGCCGGUCUUUGGGUCGGCUCGCUUUAAAAUAAUUAGCUGGAUCCAUUCUGACCUGGUUCUACUCGGCGUAAUAAGUUAUUAUCGUCGAGGACGCCUAGCCUUCUAGGCAGGCGGCCACAGUAAGGGUGUUUGAACCGCUUCCAACACGUCUUGCUCUUGUAGCAAACACUUGAACCUCUGACCUCAAAUCACGCAGGACUACCCGCUGAACUUAAGCAUAUCAAUAAGCGGAGGA